AGAGUUUGAUCCUGGCUCAGGAUGAACGCUAGCGACAGGCUUAACACAUGCAAGUCGAGGGGCAGCGGGGAGGUAGCAAUACUUCUGCCGGCGACCGGCGCACGGGUGAGUAACACGUAUGGAACCUGCCCGUAGCAGGGGGAUAAGCGGAAGAAAUUCCGUCUAAUACCGCGUAAUAACUCCGAGAGGCAUCUCUUGGGGUUUAAAGGGUGACACCGGCUACGGAUGGCCAUGCGGCGCAUUAGCUGGUUGGCGGGGUAACGGCCCACCAAGGCGACGAUGCGUAGGGGUUCUGAGAGGAAGGUCCCCCACACUGGUACUGAGACACGGACCAGACUCCUACGGGAGGCAGCAGUGAGGAAUAUUGGUCAAUGGGCGCGAGCCUGAACCAGCCAAGUCGCGUGAGGGAAGACGGUCCUAUGGAUUGUAAACCUCUUUUGUCGGGGAGCAAAAGACGCCACGCGUGGCGUUCCGAGAGUACCCGAAGAAAAAGCAUCGGCUAACUCCGUG
This 510-nucleotide ribosomal RNA is filed under the name uncultured Porphyromonadaceae bacterium. Its description in RNAcentral is "bacterial SSU rRNA". It matches the Rfam family "Bacterial small subunit ribosomal RNA", at positions 8 to 507 of the family's 1533-position model. Lineage: Bacteria; Pseudomonadati; Bacteroidota; Bacteroidia; Bacteroidales; Porphyromonadaceae. The record is from RNAcentral.